GCCGAAAUAGCUCAGUAGGUAGAGCAGAGGACUGAAAAUCCUCGUGUCGGUGGUUCGAUUCCGCCUUUCGGCA
RNAcentral lists this transfer RNA (73 nucleotides) under Brevinema andersonii. It matches the Rfam family "tRNA". Rfam says of the family: Transfer RNA (tRNA) molecules are approximately 80 nucleotides in length. RNAcentral also lists the same sequence under 2 other names. The record is from Rfam by way of RNAcentral. Lineage: Bacteria; Pseudomonadati; Spirochaetota; Spirochaetia; Brevinematales; Brevinemataceae.